UUUUUUUUGACAGUCUAGGUGGCCACAAAUGAGUGCAAUUGAAGGAUCACUCCAGCUGGAGCACUAAAGGAACCCAUCACCAGAGCUUUCCCAAGAGAAUAUCAUAAGGAAACACACAGGUUAUAACUUUGACCAAAUAAAAUCAGAAGUGUCCAGCAGCAUGAGAACCAUCUGUGUUCCUACAGUCACAUUAACAUCUGCAGCAAAUCAGUGUUCCCGUUUCUAAAGGCCAGGAUAUGGAACAUUUUUGUCUGGAAUGUUGUCCUUUCAGGUGUGAGAUCUUCUGGUGUUUCUACAGAGCAAGCAACGUUCCACAACUUGAAAGUUUCUGACAUAACCUUUUAGGGUCAAGCAGACACUCCCAGCUGAUGUGCAUUCCAGUAGACUGAAGCCAAGUUGUCCUUUUCCCUGAGCACAACUAGGAGAACAAUUCCAGGCAACCAGGCGCAGCAAGCGUGACCUAGUUCUCCUUUUCUCCUUGGAGGAAAAGAAAAAGAAAAAAAGAAUUGAAUCUGGGCCAGUUAAUAAUGCAGUCCACUGGUUUUCGCCCAAGAUGCUGAAUCUGAGAGUUAUAGUCAUUUCCAAAAGCUGAUCUGUGCCUGGAGGAAAUGCAUAACCUUUCUCCCAGUUUGUCUUUUAGGACUCAAUUACCUUGAAGUCACCCCUUUUUACCAGCAGCAACACCCCCAAAUUAGUCUCCAUUCACAAAGUAUCUCUGAUGAUGCCUCCCUGGGAAAACUUAAAAGCCUAUUUAACUAAAGGAGAGCCUGCUGCCAAGAAGUCAGCCUGGGAGAAUGGCAGUAAUUAAAUGAUGAUAAUAUUUAGGAUCCUGCAGUUGUGUGAUCUCCUGCACAUCACUGAACAAUCAACUGUACCUCCCUCGGGAAGGGGAGCCAGCUCAGCCCCUAGCCCAGCAGCCCAGCAGCCCACCAGCCAGAGGCACUGACAGAUGGACACCUGAGCGCCUGGCACUAUCUGUGAGCACCAGGGUGGACUUGUCUCUUGAGUCGGGUGGUCCACAGGUCAACCUGAUGGAUGCAUCCUG
This 1045-nucleotide long non-coding RNA is filed under the name Capra hircus (goat). RNAcentral describes it as "lncRNA (ENSCHIG00010022649.1)". The record is from RNAcentral. Lineage: Eukaryota; Metazoa; Chordata; Mammalia; Artiodactyla; Bovidae.